This 384-nucleotide ribosomal RNA is filed under the name Triticum aestivum (bread wheat). RNAcentral's name for it is "partial small subunit ribosomal RNA". The record is from RNAcentral. Lineage: Eukaryota; Viridiplantae; Streptophyta; Magnoliopsida; Poales; Poaceae.
AUGCCAGCCAAGAUCUUCCAGAUCCUCUCCACCCUGCCACCGUCAUUGCAGGAGGACUUUAAUGAGUGGUCACCAAGAAGCUGCCCCAACUCCUACAAAAGGCUCAGGUUAGAUGAGCCGCUGACAAAGACACACCUCUAUUCUGAAUUUUUACAUGCGAAGAUGGACCAUCAGCUACGGAAUAUGUUGGCUAACCUCUCACAGGUUGCUAACAAUUUUUUUCUUAUUGUCAUCUUGAUGAUGGCUACAAAUAUGGACACCUAUAUACAUAUGGGUUGUUUCCUCCGUCAAUGCCGUCCUUUAAUCCAGUUAAUGAUGCUGAAGUUUUCAAUGGCUUUGGCACCGCAUACAUAUGGGAUGUUUCCUCCGUCAAUGGCUCAAUGA